ACCGGGACGGACGAACCUCUGGUGUGCCAGUUGUUCCACCAGGAGCACCGCUGGUUAGCUACGUUCGGAAGGGAUAACCGCUGAAAGCAUCUAAGCGGGAAGCCUGUUCCAAGAUGAGGUUUCUCACCCCCUCGAGGGGGUAAGGCCCCCGGCAGACCACCGGGUUGAUAGGCCAGAACUGGAAGCCCAGCAAUGGGUGCAGGUGACUGGUACUAAUAGGCCGAGGACUUACCACAA
This 237-nucleotide ribosomal RNA is filed under the name Rhodococcus sp. BP-333. RNAcentral's name for it is "partial 23S ribosomal RNA". It matches the Rfam family "Bacterial large subunit ribosomal RNA", at positions 2691 to 2925 of the family's 2925-position model. RNAcentral also lists the same sequence under 2 other names. Lineage: Bacteria; Bacillati; Actinomycetota; Actinomycetes; Mycobacteriales; Nocardiaceae. The record is from RNAcentral.